CCGACCUUAGCUCAGUUGGUAGAGCGGAGGACUGUAGUGUCGCAGAUAAAUCCUUAGGUCGCUGGUUCGAAUCCGGCAGGUCGGA
Hordeum vulgare subsp. vulgare (domesticated barley) is the source of this 85-nucleotide non-coding RNA. The record is from Rfam. Lineage: Eukaryota; Viridiplantae; Streptophyta; Magnoliopsida; Poales; Poaceae.